AUCCAAUUGAUGAGUUCCAAAUGGAACGAAACGCGCGUGUUACAU
RNAcentral lists this non-coding RNA (45 nucleotides) under Schistosoma margrebowiei. Lineage: Eukaryota; Metazoa; Platyhelminthes; Trematoda; Strigeidida; Schistosomatidae. The record is from RNAcentral.